This 900-nucleotide ribosomal RNA is filed under the name Triticum aestivum (bread wheat). RNAcentral's name for it is "partial small subunit ribosomal RNA". The record is from RNAcentral. Lineage: Eukaryota; Viridiplantae; Streptophyta; Magnoliopsida; Poales; Poaceae.
AUGAAGAAGGUGGCUGCUCCCCCUCCCAGGAAGGAUGUUGGACUGCCUCGCACUUUCAAGCAGAGGACUUUCGGCCUCUACUUUCGGUGCUUGGCGUCGGACCACUUCGUCGCGGGCUGCCGCGGCCCUGUCCGGUGCUUGGGAUGUGGCCACUCCGGCCAUCACAAGCGGGACUGCUUGGCACGGCAUCCUGCCGACAACCCUGCGACUCAUGGUGUCGUGCCGACGGCUGACCCCGGCGUGCCUUCUGCUAUUUUGGAGCCCUUGCGGCCUCUCCUUGCAGCUCAGUCGGAGGCACUCGGCGCUGAGCUACAGGCCUUGUUCGCUGCUCGUCUUGAGGUGCUGUUCAAGCCUCUUCAAGACUUGGUUGCUGCUGUGGAGAGUUGGACUGCUCAAGUCUCAAGCCUAUGGGAACCUAUGGAAGCUAUCGGGGGCAGCCAACACUUUGCCAAUGUUGAAUCUUCUCCUCCUGCUGUGGCCGUUGGUCAGGAUUGCAGUGCGCUUGUUGUGGCUGGCUGCUCAGCUGAGUUGAGUGAGAAGACUCAGUCCGUUGAUGAUCCGCCUGCCUUGGAAAAGGUCAUGCUUGAGGAUGAUCCUCCUGACUCUUCUGUACUACCCGGGAUGGUGAGUCAAGGCAUGGAGGAGCGGGCCAAGGUGUCUUCUUGUUUUGACAUGGUUAUGUCUGAGGUGGAGCCUGUUGAGCAGUCGACACUGGAGGAGCCGAAGGUUUCCAGUGCUCCUUGCACCGGGAAGCCUUCAAAGGAGAUGAUCCAGAUGGAUGCAGAUGAGCCUCUUGGGAGAGCCUCCUCUCCGUGGGGGAGUUCCUCGAAGAGCUUUCUCUCACUGUGUCGAGCUCGCCGCAAGUUUUGCAGGUGGGAGAGGCUGCCCCUUCUCUCUUAG